GACGAACGCUGGCGGCGUGCUUAACACAUGCAAGUCGAACGGAAAGGCCCUGCUUGCAGGGUACUCGAGUGGCGAACGGGUGAGUAACACGUGGGUGAUCUGCCCUGCACUUCGGGAUAAGCUUGGGAAGCUGGGUCUAAUACCGGAUAGGAGCCAUCUUUAGUGUGGUGGUUGGAAAGUUUUUUCGGUGUAGGAUGAGCUCGCGGCCUAUCAGCUUGUUGGUGGGGUAAUGGCCUACCAAGGCGGCGACGGGUAGCCGGCCUGAGAGGGUGUACGGCCACAUUGGGACUGAGAUACGGCCCAGACUCCUACGGGGGGCAGCAGUGGGGAAUAUUGCACAAUGGGCGCAAGCCUGAUGCAGCGACGCCGCGUGGGGGAUGAAGGCCUUCGGGUUGUAAACUCCUUUCGCUAGGGACGAAGCUUUGUUGUGACGGUACCUAGAUAAGAAGCACCGGCUAACUACGUG
RNAcentral lists this ribosomal RNA (466 nucleotides) under uncultured bacterium. Its description in RNAcentral is "partial 16S ribosomal RNA". It matches the Rfam family "Bacterial small subunit ribosomal RNA", at positions 28 to 507 of the family's 1533-position model. The record is from RNAcentral.